RNAcentral lists this unclassified non-coding RNA (1698 nucleotides) under Hevea brasiliensis (rubber tree). The record is from RNAcentral. Lineage: Eukaryota; Viridiplantae; Streptophyta; Magnoliopsida; Malpighiales; Euphorbiaceae.
CUUGCCAUGAGGUUUUCUCAUAAUAUAAUUAUGUGCAAUCAGCAUUUCCAAACCAUGAACACAAAAUGAAAUGCAUGAGAAUACAUGAAUAUAUCCAGAAGAAAUUAACAAGAACCAUAAUAAAUAAAAAAACACUAGUUAAUUAAUUAAUUAAUGCAAUUUAGCUGGAUGGUUUUGCCAGGCAUUAUUGCAUUAUAUGAUCAUACCAGAUCGAGUAGAAGACCUAGUGUAAUAAAUUGCCAACUUUUUGGAUACCAAAAACCCUAGACCUCACAUACUCGAGAGCAUAAUUAAUAUCAUCAUCAAGUCAUGACUUACAUCUAAGUGAUCAAAAUAGAUUAGUUUCAUCACCCAAAAGGUGAGUUUCUCUCUUGUGGCAUGCCACCAGUAGUAUUCAUCAUAGGGCUCAUCCUAUCAGAGGGAAGUGGUGCUCUUCUCGGCGAUGGCCUUUCCAGCUUUGCAUUCUUAUCACACAUUGGAUCACCUUGAAUCACUGGCGGCUUUGUUUCAUAAAUAUCAGAUAUGGAAUCCAAAUCAGUUCCUCUAUCAAUCUGAAUCUGGUGAUGAUCACCUUUGAAAAGAUGAUCAUCUUGAGGUCCAAGACAGGUUGGUGCUGAUCCCAGAUCUUGCAAACGAAGAUCAUCAGGCCAGAUUAAAGGGCUCUUGCCGCUACCGCCAUAAGGGCUGGACCUCUUUUUUCCCAAGCAAAUAUUAUCAUUGUUUGGCAUGAACCCAUCAAGUGAUGAUGGCCUUUCCAUGUUGUGUUGAUGAAGAUCAAGUUGGUCACCUCCAUAAAUGUUAAGGUCUUGAAAUGGUGGGAAAUUUAAAGGACCAAAAUCUUUCAUCCCAGCACCCAUAUCAGGAAUUCCUUGAUUUCCAAUGCCUUUGUAGCUUCCUGAGGCCAUAUUUUCACUGGCAAGUGUUUGAUAAGCUUUCUCCAACAUAUUUUGCAUGUAUUUUCCAUGAGCUUCGAUCCUUAAUUGAAGAUGUCUUUGCACCUGAAGCCGUAGAUCGUACCAAACCCAUAUACAAUUUUAACAUAUAUGCUUAUGUAUUAAACGAGAUCGUUGAGAAAAGAUUUUUGCUUACCUCUAACUGUUCAUGCAAUCUUCUCUGCACCUCCAUUUGCAUCUCGUUCAUACUUCGGCUCAUCAUGACAGAAGAAGAUCCAGCAUUUCUUUGAAGAUCUAAUGCUGGAGCUGCCAUGAAACCAAAAUUUAAUCAGAUAAUCUAGCUAGCUUCUACCGAAAGAAUAAGAGAAAAAAAAAUUAUGAUAAAAACAGUGAGCACAUGCACGCGCGUGACACGCAAAGGAAGAAGAAACAAAAAGAAAUAAAAUAAAAGAAAACUCUUACAAUCUUUGAUUGAGUGAUCAUUGAAUUCCUUGUGAGGUUGCUUUCCAAGUCUGAAUUUCUGAAGAUGGCUUUUGAGGUGGUAAAGGGUAAGACCCUUCACACCCAUAACUCUCAUGAUGGUCUUUGGUGUAGCUUUAUCAGGUCCUCCAAGUUGAGUAACAGCAUCGACAAAGCGUUCAUGAAGUUCAACUGUCCAACGAAGACGAGGUUUAGGGUCAGUGGUUAGGACAAGACCAGAGUCACCUUGAACACACAUGGGUCUAUCAUGGGAAUUCAUAGUAGAGGGUUUCUUGGCAUGGAACAUUCUCUUUCUUUCUCUCUCUCUCUAAGAAACUCUGAGAAU